Molecule: non-coding RNA, 1770 nt
Organism: Rattus norvegicus (Norway rat)
Lineage: Eukaryota; Metazoa; Chordata; Mammalia; Rodentia; Muridae
Source: RefSeq, a predicted model, not a curated record
CUUUUAUAAGGACAACAUUUAACUGGGGCUGGUUUACAGGUUCAGAGGUUCAGUCCAUUAUCAUCAAGGUGGGAGCAUGGCAGCAUCCAGGCAGGCAUGGUGCAGGAGGAGCUGAGAUUUCCACAUCUUCAUCUGAAGGCUGCUAGAAGACUGACUUCCAGCCAGCUAGGUUGAGGUCUUAAAACCCACGCCCAAAGUGACACACUUCCUCCAAUAAGACCACGCCCAUCCAACAAAGGCCACGCCCACCCCAACGAGGCUACACCUACUCCAACAAGGUCACACCUACUCCAACAAGGCCACACCUACUCCAACAAGGUCACACCUACUCCAACAAGGGCCACUCCCUGGGCCAAGCACAUACAAACCAUCACAAUGCUCUAGCCUUUCCCAAGGCCACCUGUAAUUAGGGCAGAGUUGUGAGCAACAGGUGGCAGAGAGAAAAGGGAUCCAUAGGUGAAGGUCUUGCGACCACCCCAGCCCCUCUAUGAGGGGAUGUAACAGCCACCAAGUCCAGCUAAGGUGAUCUUUUGCAAGUGGACACAGCUCAUGAGACACAGCAGCAGACAGCGGACUAGACACCAGCCCACGUGCUGCCUCCCGUAAAAGGUCCAAGGAACGUUAAUAACAGGAAACUGUCUUAAGAUAGAGUCUUCGUUGGGGUUGGGGAUUUAGCUCAGUGGUAGAGCGCUUGCCUAGCAAGCGCAAGGCAGCGCAAGGCCCUGGGUUCGGUCCCCAGCUCCGGAAAAAAAAAAAAAAAAAAAAAAAAAGAUAGAGUCUUCGCCUAGAACCCAGGCUGGCUUAGAAGUCUCCAUGGGGUAAUCCUCCUGCCCCAGCUUAUUAAGUCCUUGCACGAGGCACCAGCUAAACAGGGUUUUAUUUGAUUUUUUUUUUCCUUUUUGAGAAGGGCUCACUAUGUAGCCCCAGCUGGCAUGACUUGUAGAUCAGACUUGUCUGUAACUCGCAAAGAUCCCCCUGCCUCUGCCUCCCAAAUGCUGGGAAUAAAGGCUUGGGUCACCAUGCCCAGCAGCAGGAUUCUAAGGCUCCAGAGAUCCAAGAGUGAUCUUCGCACCCUCUGAGACUGACCUGGUCACUCUGGGAACUGAACAGAGAGCUCCUUCAUCCCGCCCCUGAUCUACAAUGAUGGGACAGGGCUGCAUGGCACCUGUGGUCACUUGGCUCUCCUUAGAAGUUAAGACUCAGUCUCCCCAGGACACUGCAUAGCCACGUUCCUCAGAGGAAGCUUAGCAGGAACCUGCCCCAGUAGCCAGACUUCCCCAGUGUUGUAUCUUUCCUGGGAGUCUUCCCUAACUAGACUCUUCCUUUCCCACCACGUUAGUUAAUUUUUAUGAACACCAGUGGUAGGCCUGAAAGCUGAGAAGCUUCCACACAGAUAAGAAGCACAAGAUGGGCCAGGAUGCUGCUCAACCACCUGGGAAGGGACAGGGGCUGGCAGCAAAUCCAUUCAUUCCUUCUAGAAAAAUCACCCCUGCACCUGCUGACCAACUUCGGGCUGUCAGUACCUUUUCCUGAGAAGCUAUCUGGCCAGCUGCAGCCCCCUCCCAUUUUGGUGCUUCUUGAUUAUGUCAGGUUGACAAGAAAAACAAGUGCACUGUAGCAGGGCUCCAGGCAUCGAGUCCCACUGUAAUGAAGUGGAAACCACACAGAAUGUGAGCACCUCCAAACUGUUCAUGGGGUCACCACUGCUCUGGCAUCUGCGGCUUCAGCCUUAUCCUAAUUCUCAAUAAAAAUUAGGACUGUUGAUCCCGA